This 84-nucleotide non-coding RNA is filed under the name Desulfosporosinus sp. RNAcentral's name for it is "c-di-GMP sequence". It matches the Rfam family "c-di-GMP-I-GGC riboswitch aptamer". Lineage: Bacteria; Bacillati; Bacillota; Clostridia; Eubacteriales; Desulfitobacteriaceae. The record is from RNAcentral.
UAUUGAGAAAGGCAAACUCGGUGAAAGCCGGGGACGCAAAGCUACGGGUCUUCCACUUAGGGUGAUGAUAGCCGAGCUACCAAU